Heterocephalus glaber (naked mole-rat) is the source of this 101-nucleotide small nucleolar RNA. The record is from Ensembl. Lineage: Eukaryota; Metazoa; Chordata; Mammalia; Rodentia; Bathyergidae.
ACCCUCUUGUGGUUCAUAAGCAUAAUUGGGCUUUCAUGUCAUUCUAUGAAAUGUGCCUUGCUCAAAUCUUGUUUUGCUAUCAGCUCAUUACCUGACUGAUA